AAUUCGCCCUUAGAGUUUGAUCCUGGCUCAGAUUGAACGCCGGCGGCAUGCCUUACACAUGCAAGUCGAACGGUAACAGGUCUUCGGACGCUGACGAGUGGCGAACGGGUGAGUAAUACAUCGGAACGUGCCCAGUCGUGGGGGAUAACUACUCGAAAGAGUAGCUAAUACCGCAUACGAUCUGAGGAUGAAAGCGGGGGACCUUCGGGCCUCGCGCGAUUGGAGCGGCCGAUGGCAGAUUAGGUAGUUGGUGGGAUAAAAGCUUACCAAGCCGACGAUCUGUAGCUGGUCUGAGAGGACGACCAGCCACACUGGGACUGAGACACGGCCCAGACUCCUACGGGAGGCAGCAGUGGGGAAUUUUGGACAAUGGGCGAAAGCCUGAUCCAGCAAUGCCGCGUGCAGGAUGAAGGCCUUCGGGUUGUAAACUGCUUUUGUACGGAACGAAAAAGCUUCUCCUAAUACGAGAGGCCCAUGACGGUACCGUAAGA
RNAcentral lists this ribosomal RNA (491 nucleotides) under uncultured bacterium. RNAcentral describes it as "bacterial SSU rRNA". It matches the Rfam family "Bacterial small subunit ribosomal RNA", at positions 1 to 485 of the family's 1533-position model. The record is from RNAcentral.